Molecule: ribosomal RNA, 253 nt
Filed under: uncultured bacterium
Lineage: Bacteria
Description: partial 16S ribosomal RNA
Rfam family: Bacterial small subunit ribosomal RNA
Source: RNAcentral
UACGUAGGGGGCAAGCGUUGUCCGGAUUUAUUGGGCGUAAAGAGCGUGUAGGCGGCUAGGUAGGUCCGUUGUGAAAACUCGAGGCUCAACCUCGAGACGUCGAUGGAAACCAUCUAGCUAGAGUCCGGAAGAGGAGAGUGGAAUUCCUGGUGUAGCGGUGAAAUGCGCAGAUAUCGGGAAGAACACCCGUGGCGAAGGCGGCUCUCUGGUACGUGACUGACGCUGAGACGCGAAAGCGUGGGGAGCGAACAGG